RNAcentral lists this ribosomal RNA (332 nucleotides) under uncultured bacterium. RNAcentral describes it as "bacterial SSU rRNA". It matches the Rfam family "Bacterial small subunit ribosomal RNA", at positions 568 to 898 of the family's 1533-position model. The record is from RNAcentral.
CGCGUAGGCGGUUGACACAGUCAGGCGUGAAAUUCCUGGGCUUAACCUGGGGGCUGCGCUUGAUACAUGUUGACUUGAGUAUGGAAGAGGGUCGUGGAAUUCCCAGUGUAGAGGUGAAAUUCGUAGAUAUUGGGAAGAACACCGGUGGCGAAGGCGGCGACCUGGUCCAUUACUGACGCUGAGGCGCGAAAGCGUGGGGAGCAAACAGGAUUAGAUACCCUGGUAGUCCACGCUGUAAACGAUGUGUGCUGGAUGUUGGGCGGCCUAGCCGUUCAGUGUCGUAGCUAACGCGGUAAGCACACCGCCGUGGGGAGUACGGCCGCAAGGUUGAA